GACUAAUUUAAAAAAAAAAAAAGGUGAUUCAUUCAUUUCCUCCACCAGAGCCACAUCUCAGCCUCAGGGCUCAAGGAUGGCAGCAGCAUGAGGUUAAUUUUGGACUCACAGGCUGCUUGCUUGAAAACUGUUAGCUUCACUUCUCAUCUCCUUGUGGGUAGGGAGCUGCCACUGAUGGCAUUUACAGAAUAACAAAUGAGGAUUAAGCUUUCUAUUUGGGAGAUAUUUUGAGCAAAAUUAAACAUGGUGUAGGCAGAGUGGAUUAGAUUGAAAUGAUCCCCAUUCUGACAAAGCCCUUAAAACACACACACACACACACACACACACACACACACACACACACACACAUAAAGCCAGUAUUAACCCUCAAGAACAAGGUAAAUCACAAAACAUCUGCAGUGUCCUACCAGUUUUCCAGUAAUUGCAAUAGAGUAUAAUUAAGGUAACUAAGUCUAAGGACUCUGUGUUUAAAUGCUGGCUGUACCACCUGCUAGCUGUAUAACCUUGAAAACAUAUUUGAUCUCCCUAAGUUUCAGUUUCCUCCAAUGUUAUAUUGGGGUUAAUAACGACAGCUAACAUUCAUUGAGUAUAUAUCAUGCCCAGAGUGUCCAUUCACUUAUUUAUUUCUGAUUUAACAAAUUGGAAGAUGGGUCAGAAGAAAAUACUCAGACUUAAGCCCAAAGUUAUGGAAAUUACAGAAAAGAUAGUAAAAGAUAAAUUGACACAGCAAAUAGGUUUAACACAUGUGCAUCUGGAGUCCCAGAAGGAGAUGUGAAAGAAUAUGGAGAAGGUUAUUAUUUGCCAGCCACUGCUUUAAGUACUUUACAGAUAUAUCUUAUUUAAUCCUCAUAAAAUCUCUCUGAGGUAGGCACUAUUCUUGCCACACCCAUUUUACAGAUGAGGAAACCAAGGCACCAAGUUAGGUAACUUGCCCAGGGCCACACAGCUAGUAAGUGGUAGAGCUGAGAUAUAAACCCAAGCAGUCUGAGCUGUGUCCACAUUUUAAACCAGCCUUAUUCUGAGGACCAUACAUAUGUCAACUCAUUAAAUGCUCACCAAUAAGUCCUAUGAGUACUAUCAUUAUCCCCAUUCUAUAGGUGAAAGAGGUUAGGCAAUUUGGCCAAGAUUACAUAAUUAGGUAAUGAUAGAGCUAAGAUACAAUGCCAGACAAGUCUGUCUCUAAAACCCACAAUCAUAAUUUUUAUGCUAUAUCCUCUGUCAGUAAUAGUACCUUUAUCAUAGAGUUCUUUAGUCCAGUCCUGGCAUACACUCAGAUAUUAUUAUCAUUUACGAUUACUAUUACUGAUUGUCCUCUGAUAGUUGUAGCUCCCUAAGAGCUCAAGUUGCAAUCACAGUGAGGUGGGAGUAGCAGGAAUGUAUAGCAUGCUGCCUGAAUAUGACACCCUGCUCUCAGCAGGUUCCUAAGAUGAGGAAACUAUUAGAGUUCCUAAAAUGAAGGUCCUUGCUAGAGAUUCCAUGUAUUUCAGUUCAUUUACUCUCUUUGCCUAACUGCAGUAUAGAAGGUGACUGGAUACCAGAAAAAUUGUAGGGAAAGAGGAAGGGAGUUUUAAUUCUUUGUUUUAAUCCUUUGUUGGGAGUUUUAAAAUUUGAUAGAAUUCCAAUCUGUCUUGACUGAGAGCAAGCUAGCACAGAAUACCACAUCACACUCCCCAAAUGAUGCUAAGGCAUUUAUAAUAGUAGGUUUUUUUUUUUUUUUUUUUUUUUUGAGAUGGAGUCUCACCCUGCCACACAGGCUGGAGUGCAGUGGCACGAUCUCAGCUCACUGCAACCUCCACCUCCUGGGUUCAAGCAAUUCUCAUGCCUCAGCCUCCCAAGUAGCUGGGAUUACAGGCACAUGCCACCAUGCCCGGCUAAUUUUUAUAUUCUGAGUAGAGACGGGGUGCUGUGAUUACAGGCGCGAGCCACCAUGCCCGGCCAUAUAUAUAUAUAUAAUUUUUUUUUUAAUAAGCCUUAACUCUAUGCCAACUACUUUUCCAAGUGCAUAUGUUAAUUUAUGUGUUCCUUAGAAAAGCCCUAGGAGAUGCAUAAUAUUAUCUGCUCACUUUAUAGAUGAGGAAAUUAAGGCCUGGUGUUCAAGGCCACACAGUCAGUAAGUGAUAAAACUGGAAUUUGAACAGUUUUGCCCCAGAACCCAAGAUCUUAUGUUCCUCUCACUUCAAUACUAGUUUUUUUUGAGAUGGAGUCUCGCUCUGUUGCCCAGGCUGGAGUGCAGUGGCAUGAUCUCUGCUCACUGCAACCUCUGCCUCCCGGGUUCAAGUGAUUCUCCUGUCUCAGCCUCCUGAGUAGCUGGGAUUACAGACAUGCGCCACAACGCCUGACUAAUUUUUGUAUUUUUUAGUAGAGACAAGGUUUCACCAUGUUGGCCAGGCUGGUCUCGAACUCCUGACCUCAGGUGAUCCACCCGCCUCAGCCUCCGGAAGUGCUGAGAUUACAGGCAUGAGUCACCGCACCCAGCUUCCAACACUAGUUUUAAUACUCUUCCCACAUUACCGAUUACCCCUCUAUCUCAUGAAUGAAACUAAAUAUUAAAUAUAUAAUUGUAAAGUACAAGGUGAUUUUCAUGAAGUUGUUUUGCGGUCCUCUUAAAAAUGCUUCCCAUCUCUCACCAUUACAUUGUACUCUGCUUUUUUUUUUUUUUUUUUGAAAUAGGAUCUCAUUCUGUUGCCCAGGCUGGAGUGCAGUGGCGUGAUCUCAGCUCACUGCAACCUCUACCUUCUGGGCUCAAGUGUCACCUCUGCCUCCUGAGUAGGUGGGACUACAGGCAUGCACCAUCACACCUGGCUAUUUUUUUUGUUUUUUGUAGAGAUGGGGUUUUGUUAUGUUGCCCAGGAUUGUCUCAAACUCCUGGGUCCACACAAUCUACCUGCCUAGGCCUUCCAAAGAACUGGGAUUACAGGUGUGAGCCACUGCCCCCAGCCCAUUGUACUUUGAUUCUUUUGCCUGCAAUGUUUUCAGCCCUUCGCCCAAGGUGAGAUUUUUGAUAAUACAAAAGUUCUGAAUCCAUUUGACAGGGUUUACUUGUCAACAAAGUGGAUACAGGUAUCUUCUUCUUGUCCACAGCCAAAUCUUGUGGCGAUAGUCAGAUAGUAGAAGGUGGUGGUGGGGGAUGUCUACUCUGCCUUUUUUUUUUUUUUUUUUUUUUUUUAAGGAGAUAGGGUCUUGUUCUGUCACCCAGGCUGGAGUACAGUGGCACGAUCAUAGUUCACUGCAGCUUCGAACUUCUGGGCUCGAGUGAUCCUCUCACCUCAGCCUCCAAGUAGUUGGGAUGACAGGUGCAUACCAACAUGCCCAGCAAAUUUUUCUUGUGGUUUUUUAAGAGAUGGGGGUCACGCUGUGUUGCCCAGGUUGUUCCUGAACUCCUGACCUGAAGGGAUUCUCCUGUCUUAGCCUCCCAAGUCACCGCAAUUACAGGUGUGAGCCACUGUGCCUGGCUCCCCUCUGCCUUUCGUUACCUUUCCUAGGGCAGGAAUUGUUGGCAUAUACUGGCACCAGUGCCCAACAUUGUUUCACUUUAUUUUGGAUCCUAAAAAAUUAAUUUCUCCUCAAUUUAUUUAUGAAGAAAUAUAUCUUAUCAAAAGACCAAGGAAGCAGGAUUUGUAAGCAAAGAAGAUUUCAGGAAUUUGUAGGUUUUACAUGUUCUUCUACCUCAGAUAUAUAGCUGACUCUUUUUUUGGGAAGGGGCACAGAAAAAUUUAUGUACCCUGUUAAAUAGCAGUAGACAAUAGUUACGGUCUGCUAGCCCCAUCUACUUCUCAUGAGAAGAAAAAAGGUCUACAAAGGCAUUGUCACAGAGGUUUUUGGCCUCUUGUAAGAGACUUUCCUGAGGUUUUUAUAUAGCCAAGUGUUUUGCUUAUUUACUACUUUGUGGCACUGGAUCAAAUAAUGUAUGCUGAUAUAUAAUACAUUGAUUAAUGCAUUUUCCAAACUCAUGACCAGCUUGAAAUAUAUUGUUUUUUGGUUUUUUUUUUGAGACAGAGUCUCGCUCUGUUGCCCAGGCUGGAGUACAGUGGCACGAUCUCGGCUCACUGCAAGCUCCACCUCCCGGGUUCACACCAUUCUCAUGCCUCAGCCUCCCGAGUAGCUGGGACUACAGGUGCCCGCCACCACGCCCAGCUAAUUUUUUUUUUGGUAUUUUUAGUAGAGACGGGGUUUCACCGUGUUAGUCAGGACGGUCUCGAUCUUCUGACCUCGUGAUCCGCCUGCCUCGGCCUCCCAAAGUGCUGGGAUUACAGGCAAGAGCCACCGCGCCUGGCCCAGCUUGAAAUAUUUUUAUAGAAUGUCUCAGAGUCUAUAAAAUAAUUUUUAAUAUUUUGUAAUAUUUUUAGAGAUAUCAGUGAAGGAUUUAAAAAAUAAGAGACAGACAGUAUAAUGUAAAAAUUUUCUCAUGGGAUAUUUUUUGUUACCAAUGUGAAUUUAUUGAUACUACCUUGAUGCUAAUAGUGAAUUCUUUGAAGGCAAGACAUUCAUUUGUUUUUUAGUUCACAGUGAACCUAACAUAGUAACUUGAAUGUAAUAGAUGCUUCAUUAUUGUUUGUUGAAUGUAUGAAUGAUUAAAUAAAUAAAUUUAGUACCAUCA
This 4597-nucleotide long non-coding RNA is filed under the name Homo sapiens (human). RNAcentral's name for it is "novel transcript". The record is from RNAcentral. Lineage: Eukaryota; Metazoa; Chordata; Mammalia; Primates; Hominidae.